Brassica rapa (field mustard) is the source of this 10856-nucleotide long non-coding RNA. RefSeq lists it as uncharacterized. Lineage: Eukaryota; Viridiplantae; Streptophyta; Magnoliopsida; Brassicales; Brassicaceae. The record is from RefSeq and is a predicted model, not a curated record.
UAGGCUUUGUCUCUUGAUCAAUGUUUAAUUGGUGGGGUGUUUACUUAGUGUAAACACUUAAUAAAUAUUUAUGAAUGAUCGUAGAGGUUUAUUCCGAACCUUAGUACUUGUACUCAAUAACUAAUAUAUUAUAUUAUUAAAUAUAUGAGUAUAGAUCAUGUGAAGUCUUAUUGUAUACUCACUCUCCCGAAGUUCCCGUAUUACCAUGAAUUGUUCCUGCGAUAUGGACCAAGGUCACGAAGACAUGAUGAUGGGGUCGCACCCUGGAGGCCGUGUAACUGCAUGCAGCGUUUGAUUUUUGAUCUUGGAAUAUCUAAUGGAGAUGAUGGUUAUAUUUAUUUCCCCUCUAGGCUCGGUACACUUGGUGGUUUUACGGGUUUAGUUUAUAUAUAUAUAUAUAUAUAUAUAUAUAUAUAUAUAUAUAUAAUAUAAGUAUGAGUGUAUGGCGGGUGUUGUGGAGAUGAUGUUUAAGAUAAAAUUCACAUCGAUGGAAUGAUAGGCUUUAUAUAUGCAUUCUUAUUAGUUAUGGAAUAUAUUUCCACUGCAUACAAAUGGAGUUGAUUGUUCGAGAUAUUACUAAUAUAUGUUGGGGUGCAGGACUAGGCUCACUGAAUAAACUAGUUACUAAUGACUCAUUUGUGAUGCAGGUAACCAGUAGACGGGAGACCUUACUCUAGGACGGGAAGGAACAUCAUUAGCCAGCGGUAGUUUUAUUAUCCUUGCAAAGUCAUUUUGAUAUAUCUUAUGUAUAAGAUUUGCAGACCAAAAACCUCGAAGUUAAAUUAUAACAAAUUUUGUAAGAUGCUUUUAAAUGAUAUAUAUAAAGAUUGUUUUUAAAGUAUAGGUUCCAUAUGAUAUUAGUCUUUGUCCGGACGAACUAACUAUCGGAUAUUUCUUUUUCGGGUUGAAAAGCUUAGAGUGAUAUUCGAUAGGAGCGUUGGUGUUCUUUGGUUGUUAGUCUAAGGUGAUCGGAGGUAUUCUGAGAACUUCGGAUAGACCAUCGAGGAACAUCGACCGUGUCAUUUACGGUUAUCUACGAUCGGGGGUGUCACACACCCACUUUAAGCUAACUCAGCCAAAACGUAUAAAGUAACUCACUCGCCCACUUUCAUUAUUAAUGGGACAUUUCCACUUGCUUGAUUGGACUGAGUUGUCGAUUAAUGGUGGCACGUGUGGAAAAUAUCGAUGUCUUUAUAAUAUCAAGACGAUUUAUACUUUAACUCCACCAACAAUAUGAGAAUAUCGAGGCUAAUUAUUAUUCCCUCCGCUUGCUUGAUUGGACUAAGUAUUUAAUUGAUGUUUUACAUAUCUGCACGUAAAUUAAGAAAUCUGAACGUUUUACAAUGCACGUAAAUUAACCUCUUUUCGCCUGGUGUUUAAUGCUAAUAUGACUUCAUAUUAUGUGACCAAAACUUAUCCUAAUUAAAGUAAUGAUAAUUCAGCCAUAAUUAAACAUAAACUGAGCUCUAAUUCAACUAAAAAUCAGCCAAAAGAAACAAUAAAUCAGCCGUUAUAAAACAAUAACUCAGCCAUAAUUAAUAACGCUGUUAUUAACUAUGCAUGAUGUUUGUUGAUGUUUGCAUGAUGUGUGUGCUUGAAAACAAUAACUCAGUCGUGAUAAAAAAAAGUAACUCAGCCGUAAUUAAACUAUAAAUCAGCCAAAAGAAACAAUAACUAAGCCUUCAUUACAUUAAUUUGUAGUCAGACAUACAUAAUGGCAUAGCAAAGAACUUAAAAAGAUUAGAUUCCGAUAGAUUACAUUUUUACCAAUUCCUUGUGUCCCUAAUAACGCUUAUCGGUUCAAAAUCACGUAAAAACGUGCCAAUCUCUUUGAUCCAGAAACAGCGCUCACACAUGUUGUCAUCCUUAGUCAUAUCAAUGUGCCACAAGCAGAGACAUUGUCUCUCCACAUGUGUUGCACAUUGGCAUCUGUAGAACGACGGAACAUAAGCUGAAACGAACACGACCCUAUUUUGGCGGAACUCGUCAGAGUGCCACAAACUCCAUCCCCAUUUCACAGAUCACACUAGUUUCCCUAUCCUCUGAACUGAUUCUCUUGGAAUACCAGCAAAAUACUGCCCAUCACAACAAAAUAUUGCUCGAGUCAUUGUGUGUGUAUACACAGCACGCUCAUAUCAUGCAUCUGCUGCACGCUUUAUGAGAGAAAGCCCUUCUUCUAUAAGGCCGAAUGAGAAGAAGAACUGUACACCCUUUAUAGAAAGUGUGUUUGGAUUUCCUUCAGCGUAGCAAGAUUUGAACAACGAAGAAGACAUAUUGAGUCCCCAGGGAACGGAUAACACAUCUUAAAAAUGGUAUACACCAAGCCGCUCUGCUAACGCCUUCAUCGACUUGGACGAUGCUUUGAGGCAAUAUAGAUCUUGGAAGGAGUUACGGGCCACACGCUCAACCACUAACGCCUGAAUUUCUUCAGGCAAUUCAAGAAGAGGGAAAUAUUUCAUUUACUGCAAAAUUGAUUUAGAGAGAGAGAGAGCAAUUAUGUAAAAAGAUGUAGAGUUGAACAUAUAACUGUUCGAGAAGUGCCGUAUUUCUUGACAGUAAAACAGUUUUCAAAUCGCGACAUUUCUUAUUUUGGGCGGGAAGUUAUUCCAUAACCCAGCCGUAAUACAAAUUCAUUCAAUAAAUCAGCCGUUUGAAAACAAAAACCCAGCCGUAAGUGACCAAAAACAUGAAAAUCCCUAAUCCAGCCGUAAUACAUUUACAUGAAAAAAAAAACACAGCCGUAAUACAAAACAUGAAAAUCCCUAAUCCAGCCGUAAUACCAAAAAUAUUUAAAAAAAAAACACAAAGGUAAUACAAAAAGAUGAAAAUCCCUACAACACUUGCUUACAUUGGACAAGUUUUCGCAUUAUGUCCACUCUGUCUACAUCGAGAACAUGUGUGUUCUUUCCUAGGACAUUUGUUUUGAAGUGCAACUUCUAAAGCUGUUGACGAAUAGACGGGGGCAAGCACAGUUGGUUAGCCAUGAUUUCUGGAACAGGUUGCGCUGAGUCAGCCGGUAUGACCGGUUCAGCGUAUGCGCUCACCAAAUAUGCACUGUUAUAGUAAGGACUGCACAGGGAUAUACGACAAACAUUGUUGUACUCUGCAGCUGCGAUUGCGUGUAUACAUGGUAAUUUCUCGCGUUCGAAACACCGACUUGUGCACUUUCGCUCUACCAAAUUAACAACAUUCAUAGACUCGCUAGAAGAUCCAUAUUUAACUUCAGUGUGAUGAUCAUCAAUCCUUUGAACUGUCAAAUAUCUGGCGGCAGUUACACGACCCUAUUAACAAAAAAUAAAUAAAUAUGAAACGACUGACUUAUUACAUAUUACAGCUGAUUUAAGAACUACAAAGGCUGACUUACGAAUUUUUGUAAUUUUAAAAACAGACAUAUUUUUACUGUUACGACUGACUUACAUGUAGUAGUGUCUCGACACCACGCAUAAGCAUCCUCUCUCCGUUCAGCAAACCAUCUUGUCAUCAUAACCCGUAUCGAUUCUAAUAUUCAAACAAUGUUUAGACCACUAGAAUUCGACAAUGCUCUGUUCAUUGAUUCCACUAUGUUUGUAGUCAUCAAAUUGUACCUCUCGCCCGGGAAAAGAACUCGCGUCCACAGUCGUACAUCAGCUCUUUGGAGGUAGCCGUGGAGUGCAGGAUUAAUCACUUCAAUCUCCUCGAAAAUCGUAGUAAAGUCAGACAUCCUAAAACAUCUCGCCGCUUUCUUCACCAGACGGAAUGCAUCUUUUCCUUUGUACCGUUCCAAUAUGUUCUUAUAUAAAUGGUAGGUGCAUAUUCCUUGAGCAGCUAAUGGAUACACAUUUCUAAUUGCUUUCCCUAUCGAGUUAUGCCUAUCCGAGAUAAUCGCAAGACCCUCGUCGUCAGGAAUCAGAAGUUUUAAUUGCGUAAAAAACCAAUGCCACGAAUCAUAAUUUUCUGUGUCAACGACUGCAAAGGCUAUUGGAAAAAUCUGAAAGUUACCAUCCUGAGCUAGUGAUGUGAGUAGCGUCCCUUUGUAUUUACCAUUGAGAAAUGUACGUAGACUACAACAACUUUGCGCAUGAAAGGAAACCCUUUUACGCUCGCACCAAAGGCAAGAAACACAUACAUGAAUCUUCCAAGCUCAUCGAUUUGAAGACACAUAAAUGUACUCGGAUUCGCCAUUCAUAUCAUGUAUAAGUAAGAAGGCAAGCUUUCAAACCCACACUCAGGUGUUCCCUCAUCGAUUUCCCUUGCGAAUUUCAGCGUCUGGUGUGAUUUUCAAUAAUCCAUCUGUUCACAUGAAAAAACGAUCCUCAUAACUCAGCCGCAUCAAAUUCAUAAGACAGCCACAACGUAAAAAUAACUCAGCCCUAUCUUUACUAUAACUCAGCCGCAUCUAACAUUAUAGUAACCCAGACGUAUUGUACGAAUAUGUCAGCCGCUACAUUUGAUAUUACUCAGCCGUAUCGUUAAAAUAACUUAGCCACAACAAAUUAAUAACCUUUAUACCAAACUGCUUAGUGAUAGCUAUUUCGACGCUCGUAGGGCGAACAGCCAGACCAACGUCGCCGAGAAAGUUCUUGUACAACUCUCCUAAAAUAUAUGGUGUUGCUUGUCGAGAUCGAUUAGAACGCUCCGUGCAGGAACAUGUAUGCUUCGAAUCAUAAAUACGAACAUAAAACGCCGGAGAUUCUCCUUGGGUAGAAGCACGAACUCUCCAUAGACAUCCAUCAACCCAGCACUUAACAACGUAUGAUGUCGGGGUUGAUGUUUCUACAUCAAAAUUAAAUUGAUGCCUCACUGUAAGAAGUUUCAGUCGUCUCUCCAAAUCGUCUUUACUCUCGUAUCGUUGACCUACCGCAAUGUCUAUCGACGACAUCUCCAACCUUAGAACCUCCAGAUUCCCUUUAGAUCUGCUCAUCGAGAAGUUCAGAUAUCUUUUUUAGGAGGUAGCGCUGGUGAAUCUUUGUUUUUCGUAGGAGACUCACCGUAUGAGCUGAAGUUAUCAUCUUCAGAUGACGCACCGUCCGAAUCGUCGAACAUAUCAAAUCGGCUUUCAAAUUCAUCAUCUUCUUCGUUUUCUUUUCCUAUUUCAUCUUCUCCGACUACGUCGUGUUUUUCUCCUUCCACAUUACUAGAGAAGUCAUUCUCAUUGUCCUCUUGUUCCUUCUCCAAACUGCAACCAUUGUAACUCCCACUGUAAUUUUUCGUCUUUGGACUCAACUACUGAAGCUUCUAUUUCUGAGCUAAAGCUGAAAAAUGUUUUACUCUUCUCUCUUGCUCUGUUCUUCGUAAUCUCCACACAGAGACGUAGUUGUUCGAUUAUAUUUAGGCUUAGAAAACCUUGCAAUUGUCGAAUAUUGGACACGUAAACUGGUGGAGUAUCGUGCGCCAUUGUUUUCAAUGCAAUAUUCGAGAACAUGUAGCUAAGCUGAAUAUGAUCCCUCAAAUCAUUCAUUCCGUAAUCAUCGAGAACAGUCUUUGCGAAAUCUUCAUGUGUUGUUUUCUCAUCUAAAUGAAGAACUCUACACCCUCUUCUGUCAAUGUUGAAUACAUAUCCGUUUUUCUUAAUCCAGUUACCGGAAACAAUAACUACCGGAUCCAUAACCAACUGAGAAAGAUGAAAACGAUAGAUAAAAAACAUGCAGAAGAACAUGAACAGACUCAUAACCCAAGUUGUAAAUUUCGUUUGUUAGUGAUGACAUGGCAAAUCCGAGUUGAUGACAUGGCGGAUUCCUUGUUCGUAUCUUAGAUUUUUCACCCGAAAUUGCUCCACAACGAUAAAACCUUCUUCCCGGAUUGCAUGCGGUAUUUGACGUUAACACAACAGUAGCAGCUCAACAGUCGCACCUCCCUGGGAUUCCACGCCCUAGAUCCAUCGAAUUCUACUUCACAACACACAAAAAUGAUUGAAACUAUUCCAAGGCAAAACACACAAAAUGAUCAGGUAUAACAAAAACAGUAUAUGAUCUCGGAUUUGACAAAAGAGACUUAUAGUUAAUCCUCUCUUCUGAAGAACCCUAAUUUUCAAAUUUGGGGGUUUUUGGAACGAGCCUCACGAUUUUAACUUUUGUGAGCUAACAUGUCGAUGUUUUCUCUUUAAACGAAAUGGAGCGUUUUGAUGAAGAAUAUAGAUUGAUCGAUAAAGAAGAUAAAGAAAAAGAUGAACACACACAAGCAUAGUUGUAAAGUAGUUCGUUAGCAGUGACAUGGCAAAUCUGAGUUGAUGACAUGGCGGAUGACAUGGAAAAUCAGUUAAUCAGCCGGCAAACUAAUAUAUAAUUCAGCCUACGUAAAUCAGCCCUCGUGUACAAUGUAAGUCAGCCAAACCGGGGUAGAGUUCAGUAUUUAAUCUUUUGAUCCGAAAUCAGCCGUAACCAUAAAUCAGCCAUAUCGUCACAUAAAUCAGCCAUCAAACGAAUGCUAUUCUAGUAGUUAAUCUUUCGCUAAAAAGUCAGCCGUAAAGAAGCUGAGUUUAAUGUUAAUCCAUCCUAUUACGGCUGAUUAAACAUAAACUCAGCCGUAACAACAUCCCAUUAGUCAGCUGUAAACUAAAUAACUCAGCUAGUCGAUAUUCGUUAACCCAGCUGUGGAAACAUAACUCUGUCGUGUCUUAACUACAACUCAGCCGAAUAUUUCAGCAAUCAAACCGCCGAUAUAUAAGUCAACCGUAACUUGUAUCUGUAAGUCAGCCGUUAUCCCAUAAAUCAGCCACAUUUCUGUAAAUCAGCCGUACCGGGCGGCUGACUUAUGUUCUUAAAUCAGUCGUUUCCUCUUAAGUCAGCCAUGUUUAUUAAUUCAGCGGACACGUAGAAAUAAAUCAGCUGUAACUAUGUAUGUAGUGAUUUACGGCUGACUUAAUGUAAACACAGAACCGAUUUUUGCUUACAUGGCAGUAAAAAGUAAUGGCAUUCUUGUAAAUACGUUUUUUCUGAUCGUAAAAAAAAGGGCACUCUUGGUAUUUAAAAAAUGCCAGUAAUAAAAAAAGAUCUGUAUAGUUCUAGUCAAUUGUCCUAAAAUAUUGUAUAUUUGAGUAAACUUCCCUAAAAAUAAAAACAUAGUAAGUAGUAGUGAUACUCUUGUGAUCUGAUGAACCCUUAUGAUCUGAUGAGUCCAAUUUAUAUUUCUUGCCAAUCACCAUAUUGAGAACUUGGUUUAAAAAUAUUAAUCUCCAUAUAACGCCUAGGUUAUUAAACCCAAAUAAUUUCCCUAAUCUCCAUAAAGCUCCCCUCACGACACUUCUCUGUAUCCUAAGUAGCCCAAACCAUGGUUUCACAAUGCUUUCCCAUUCCUGCCAACUAAGUACAAGGACGUAUACACGUUCAAAUAAUGAACCACAAUCCAAGCUUUGUUUACAUUUAUCUCCUCCAUCAAAUGUUCAUAAACUAAAGACACUAUAAGACAACAAAUGAAAUUUGAGAUAUAUAUAACCCACCCAAGCGUUCCCAUGCUUCCUUGCUAAAGUCAUAGUGCCAUCACCAAGAUAUGAUAUAAGAACCUUUAAAAAGCCGGAGCACCAUGAAACCAAAAUAACAAUUUUAUUCCAAUGCUUAAUAGAACACCAAAGAGACAAUGUAAGAACUACCUCCCUUAUACUCUUAGAACCACAUAAAACACCAAUUCUCAUAAAGCUUAUUGUAAUAAAUGAAACCCCCCCCCCCCCCCCCCCCAGUUCCUGCUUGCUUAAUCUUGCUGCGAGUAAGACUUGAUCCAUAAACUUAGAAUUUUAAGUUAUCCAAGAUUAGUCUACUCACUAAUAGACAUGAAUAACCCCAAAACCAUGGAUGAUUCAAGGUUAAACAUGAUUAGAGAACAAGAUAAUCAAGCAAAGAUAAGAAAUUAUGAUCAAGAUUAGAUCUUUCACCCAAAAGUGGCUUUUGAUUAGAUAGAAAACAAGAUAAGAUCCUAACUUUAGGAUUACAAGAGUAUUUAUAUGUCUUUGGAAAACCUAAUGGUUUCCAUUAAAAAGUCUAAAAAGCCCUUUUAAAACAUUAAAAUUCGACUAAGAUAAAGAAUGCUCGGAGCGGGUGCAUGACCUCGCUCCCGUAGGUCGCUCCAAAGAUCACCUCCACUUCUUCAAAUCGCGCGCGGGGUCAUGGCCUCGCUGCACCAGGUCGCUCCACAUAUGGAGCGGGUUAGUCACCCCGUUGCGAGACGUCGCUCCACAUCUGGAAAGUUGUCGACGACAUGUUGAGCUCGGAGCGGGUGCACUACCCCGGUGCGAGAGGUCGCUCUAGUACAGAGCGAGUGUCAUACCUCGCUCCCGUGGGUCGCUCUACACUUUACUUAUCCAGAGCGGGUGCAUGACCUCGCUCCAGUAGGUCGCUCCAGCUCCUCUAUUCACCCAAUGAUCCUUUUCUACUUCUUUUUUGAAUCACAAUGCUCCCAAACAUCUCCAAUCACUCCAUAGCACUCUCCAACACCUAAUAAGGACAAUGCAUGCAACAUAGACUCUAAAGAUGCUUAAUUCCUAAUCUAUAUGAUCAAAAUGUACAAGAUAUGAAGGCUAAAAACAUGUAAACAUGCAAGAUAUCAGAGCCCCCCGUCUGAAAGUAGGCCUCUCUUGAAGGCAGAGAUUGCAAUAGGGAUGCUGCAUUCAGGGAACCCGAAAUUAAGCUAUAAAGGGAAACGAUAGGUUCCUGACCCUGAGGUCUUGUUUUAGACUCAUGGUCCUUGGACCCUGAGGUCCUUUUAACCCGUAGGUUCUUGGCCCUAAAGCUUAUCUGAGCCUGGAGUUCUUUCUCAGAACCCGGAAUUAAGUUUUAAAGGGACCGCAUUCUACCACCCUAGGUGUGGCCACUCUCGGUACAUGUUGGGUAUCGCUUUCUACCGCUCGUGGCUGGUCACUAUCGAGUUCCCGUGCUGCACUCUGCUUUCUGCAGAAAGCCACUAUUAGUCUUAGAGGGUGCUGGUGUGGGUGAAAACCCAAAUGCCAAACUUACGCUGUUUUCCACGUCAGGAGAAACAUGAUAUUAUUAAGGUGCUCCCGGACUUUUGCACUUUCUCAGUGGCAAUUAUACCUCGUGUCCCCUGUAUUAAUUUAGCACGUAGCGUUUUAAUACAGGUACCUUUCACUUUUUUGGUAUUUUAGUUUGGGACCCCGAUAUGCCUGAGGCUAUACAGGGGUUUUAGGUAGUAUUGACGGCAUACUCGGGCUUGCGCAGACCCAUUCCUACCUUAUGUCUCAUACCCAUUUUGUUUUUGUGUGGUCGUGCCACUUAUCGUUGAGGGUUGGCCAGGAUCGGAGGUCUCUUUGACAUGAUCCAGCUCGUUUGCCCCUUUAAGUAUUAUGGUAUUUGUACUUUCUCUUAUAGUCGGAACUAUUUUAUUAUAUAGGCUAUGUCUGUAGACUUUCAGCGUACAUAUGAGUAGAAAAACAUAAUGCUUAAAUAAAAGAUAUAAUAAUCCCUUAUAUAUUAAUUGAGAAUCAUUUAAAAAGAUGUAACCUUAAUUUUGUAUUAAUUACAUUUUAGACUUGCUGAGGUGGCGUUUAAUUAGAACUUAAUUUUACUGAUGUGGCAUGACUAGAAUCGAUUGAAAAAGUAGUUAGUCCAAUUUCAAUUUGCUAGGGAACGUCGUAUUAAUUCAUACAUCAAGUUAGGAAGACUUUUGUUAUAUGAUUAACACCUUACUAUAAACAAAGUCUAAAAAAGUAUUAACAAAGAGAGAGACGCAUUAGGUUUCCGAGAGGGAGUUGCGGCGGAGAAUGAAUGCAGUGAAUUAGAGAGGCGAUGUGGUGGGCAGAGAGAAAGGCAGUUGAGGAAAGAGAGGGAGACGAGAGAUGUGGAGAGAGAGUUCUGAAUGUUGUGGAGAUGGAGAGAGCAGAGGAGCGGUUUGUGAAGGAGAUGGAGGUGACGAGGCGGAACUCGGAGCCGGCGUCACAGGUUAUGACGGUGGUAGGGGUUUGGAGGAGGGACGGUGGUCGCAGGGGACGGUGGGGAUGUUGAGAGAUUUGAGGGCCUUGACAUGUUGUGGCCUGUGGGUCUAAUGGAGGUGCGAGGAGUGGGAGAGGUGCAUGUAAAGGGAGAGAUGGUUGGGGAGAGGGAAGGAUCAUUUGUAUUGAUGCUCGAUGUGCAAGCUUGAUCUUUGUUUGUGGGAUUGCUAAUCACUUGGUAAAUCUUUUUUUUUUUUAAGCUAAGAAUCAAGAUCUUCCAUGCUUUUCGAUAUAUGUUCAAACUGUUGAAACGAUUUGGGAAAAUAUUAACUUGCUUAUGAAUAUUUAUCUGUAUUUUGAGUGUCCGUAGAAUGCACCAUAUUUGUGUAAAAAAAAUUAGAUUGUGCUGAACAGUCCUCAUGUAUGUGUAUGAAUGUUGAUAUGUGUUUUGUCAAAGGCAUAAGCUUUGAAUCCAUUAGACAGAGUUAUGCAUUUUUUUGUGUUUGUAGGUAAAAGAGUCACAUUCUCUAUAAAAAAGAUGGACUUGGUAGCAGCAGUAGUAACUAUGAACUUUGAAAAGUAAUUCUAUCAAGCUCAUAAUACUCAGGACUUAGAAGCAGCAGUAACUCCCGGAGGUAUAUCUUUGUCUUGUGGCUACACUCAUCAGCGAUGUUUUGGAUAUUUUGCUUUUGGAAAAAUGAACCAUUCAGUCUCCAAGCUAUUUUCGAAGAGGUCAUCUCUCUCCUAAAGCUAAUCUCAUCGGUGAAGAAACUAUCGACGAAUCUGAUCUUUUCUGCACCGGUUAAUUGACAUAAUUAAAAUAUCUGUACCGGUUAGUGGACAUAAUUAAAGUUCUAAAUCUAAAAGUAUGUGAUGUGAAAAAGAUAUAAAAUAUGUGAUUUUUUCAUAUAAAGUUACAACAUUUAAUAUUAAUUCUUGCUAUGUGGGACUUUGUAAACGUGAGAACGUACAUUUAUAUAAUGGAAUUUUUUUUAAUUCAGAA